RNAcentral lists this ribosomal RNA (825 nucleotides) under Flavobacteriaceae bacterium ACEMC 17-1. Its description in RNAcentral is "bacterial SSU rRNA". It matches the Rfam family "Bacterial small subunit ribosomal RNA", at positions 54 to 880 of the family's 1533-position model. The record is from RNAcentral. Lineage: Bacteria; Pseudomonadati; Bacteroidota; Flavobacteriia; Flavobacteriales; Flavobacteriaceae.
CAUGCAAGUCGAGGGGUAACAUUGUGCUUGCACAGAUGACGACCGGCGCACGGGUGCGUAACGCGUAUAGAACCUACCUUUUACAGAGGGAUAGCCUUUAGAAAUGAAGAUUAAUACCUCAUAGUAUUGAGACUUGGCAUCAAGUUUUAAUUAAAGAUUUAUCGGUAAAAGAUGGCUAUGCGUCCUAUUAGUUAGUUGGUAAGGUAACGGCUUACCAAGACAUCGAUAGGUAGGGGUCCUGAGAGGGAGAUCCCCCACACUGGUACUGAGACACGGACCAGACUCCUACGGGGAGGCAGCAGUGAGGAAUAUUGGACAAUGGAGGAGACUCUGAUCCAGCCAUGCCGCGUGUAGGAAGAAUGCCCUAUGGGUUGUAAACUACUUUUAUACAGGAAGAAACACUGGUAUGUAUACCAGCUUGACGGUACUGUAAGAAUAAGGACCGGCUAACUCCGUGCCAGCAGCCGCGGUAAUACGGAGGGUCCAAGCGUUAUCCGGAAUCAUUGGGUUUAAAGGGUCCGCAGGCGGUCAAUUAAGUCAGAGGUGAAAUCCCAUAGCUUAACUAUGGAACUGCCUUUGAUACUGGUUGACUUGAGUCAUAUGGAAGUAGAUAGAAUGUGUAGUGUAGCGGUGAAAUGCAUAGAUAUUACACAGAAUACCGAUUGCGAAGGCAGUCUACUACGUAUGUACUGACGCUCAUGGACGAAAGCGUGGGGAGCGAACAGGAUUAGAUACCCUGGUAGUCCACGCCGUAAACGAUGGAUACUAGUUGUUGGGAUUUAUCUCAGUGACUAAGCGAAAGUGAUAAGUAUCCCACCUGGGGAG